This 2362-nucleotide long non-coding RNA is filed under the name Arabidopsis lyrata. RNAcentral's name for it is "long non-coding RNA (ALYR_LNC001058)". The record is from RNAcentral. Lineage: Eukaryota; Viridiplantae; Streptophyta; Magnoliopsida; Brassicales; Brassicaceae.
UGAAGCAAAAAAACGCGUAAAGAGAAGAGAAAUUUCGAAGAAAUUGGAAUGUAAUUGAAGAAAUACAAAAUAGAAGGGGACAAAUUUCAAAAGCGUACGUGUUUCUUUAUAGUCGUCGAGGACCACAAUCACUCAUUAAAGCUUUGCCAUGUGAAAUGAGCACAGAGUUAUAAUAAGUAUCCGACAGUCAAGUUGGUAGAGAGCACAGAGUUAUAAUAAGUAUCCGACAGUCAAGAUGGUAGAGACGACGAAUCACGAAGUUUCGAAUGAGCUCAACCACAUACCACAUUUGGUUUGAAAAGUAAACCGGGUCUUUUAUUUGUUUUAAAUUCAAUAACAGUAAUAUCGAAUUAAAUUCUGCUUUUGGGAAUGAUGAUUUUGGAUAUUUAACUUAGGUUUUUUCUGUUUUUUUUUUUUUUUUGUGUAGUGGAUGUAUUGAAAUAACGUGUGGCUUCUAUUUUAACAGCUUAUGUUUCAUUGGUGUGGAGGACACUCAGUUUCAUAAGUAAAAGAGAAGUUAUCAAAGAAAUUACGAAUUUGACAUUUUAGGGCCUGAUAUUGGGCCCUUAACUUUAUAAACGGGCUGAGCCUGAGAUUUCGGUUUUCCCGAUACUCGCAACUAAGAGUGUCAAAAUAAGCUAGCUCGCUCAACUCGGUUCAGCUCAUGAUGAGCUCGGACAUUUUAUGAGCUAACUCAGCUCAGCUCAUUUAUUAGAUGAGCUUCAAUAUAUAAAUUCGGACUCAGAUCAUCUUGGUCACGAGUUAAAUGAGCUAGCUCAUAACAAAUAAAUAUAAUAACAAAAAUAUUGUAAAUUUUUUUAAAAAAAUUAAAAUAAAUCCAAUAACAUAAUUAAUUCUAAAGUUAAAUAAUGGAAAUAAACCAAGAAAAAAAUAAUCUCAAAACGCCAAACAAAAAAAAUCUCAAAUAAUAAAUCCUAACAAUUAAAUUAAAUUAAUUAAAGAUAAUAGAAAUAUGGAAUGAUCAAGAAUUUAUUCCGUGUUAGAGUCUUGCUCUUGAGAUGAUCCUACAUCAACAUCUUCAUUGUCUUCAUCUACAAGUAAACGUUUUAGAUAAUAUCUAAAUAUGAUAAUUCCUUUCAUUUUUUUGGGAAACGUUUAAGAUAAAUUUUUUAAAGGAUUAUUUCUAUAUUACUUAAUUAUCUUCUAAAAUUAAUAUGUAAAAACACAAAUUUUCUAAAAGAAUAAUUCUAUUUUUGUUUAAUUUAUAUGGAAAAGAUAUAUAUAUAUAUAUAUAUAUAUAUUUCUAAAAAAAGUCAAGCUCAUGUUCAUUAAAGCUCGCUCAUAUAACUCGCGAUCUAAAAAAAGCUCGAUCACAUAACUCAUUUAUUAAAUGAGCCUAAAAAACAGAGCUCGUGUUCAUGAAAAAUCGAGCUGAGCUGAACCAGCUUAUGAGUUGCGAGCUCAUUUUGACACCCCUACUCGCAACAAAUCCGUUCAAAACAGUAUUUUAUCUAAAUCGCGCUAAAAUUUUAUCAUCCCACCUAACAUUGUGGGAUGUGCAAGCAACGUGAAGGCCAUAACAUUGAUACUAUAUGCGAUUAACAAUUAUUAAAAAGUGUAUUUUAUAUAUGGGACUCCAAAGAACUCGGAAAAUGUUUUCAACGAUCAAAAUCACACCAAACCAAAAUUCAACAUUUUCCUGCAACUUUUUUUUUUCUCUUAAUUUUCUUAGCAACCAAGAAGAAGAAAAAACAGAGGAAAAAUAAAACUCUUUUUUCUUCGUCUUCUGAAUUCCUCAGUUGCUUUCAAAUUCUCAUUUAAAUCUGUUGUAUUGAUCGGUGAGAGACAUUCUACGUAACCAAUUUUUCAAAGGUUGAUUUUCUUUUUAUCAAUUUUAUCAAUUUGAGAUUGUUUUUUGGAUGAUCAGGUCGGAUAUUUGCUCUGUUUCGGUUCGUGUAUGAUAUGCUUUUGUAUGCUCGAUUAUUGAUCGUUCCUUAAAUCAUAAAGAAUCUUCCUUUAUAUUAGUUGUCGUUUUCAAAUUUCUAUGCAAAAUUUUUUACUUUUUAAUGUUUUAUGAUAUCAUAAAACAUUAAAAAGUAAAAAAAUUUGCAUAGAAAUUUGAAAACGACAUCCAAUUCAAAAAAAUAAAAAUUCUAAAACGACACUUAUUAAAAUACGGAGGAGUAACAAGUAUCCGACAGUCAAGUUGGUAGAGACGACGAAUCACGAAGUUUCGAAUGAGCUCAACCACAUACCACAUUUUGUAAAUUUGGUUUGAAAAGUAAACCGGGUCUUUUAUUUGUUUUAAAUUCAAUAACAGUAAUAUCGAAUUAAAUUCUGCUUUUGGGAAUGAUGAUUUUGGAUGAUUAAUUUAGGUUUUUUCUGUUUUUUUUUUUUUUUU